AGCUGCUUGCUGUCAUCCUCGUUGUUGGGAAGACCAGGCUUUUCCAUUUAGCAACCAAUCCAGGAACUAGAUUUCACCACACUAACCACAUCUUCCUUCUCUGUGUCAUACUUGUAUGUUUUUGGUCCUGAAAAGAAGUAAAUGUAGCCUAAAAGGGACAAAGUUGAAAAUGUGGUUACUGAAGAUGACCAGCAAAAUGAUAAAUGGAAUUUGUAAUUGUCACUUUCCUAAGGUGUCAUCAAAGGGGAAUUGCGAAUUUGUCAGGCGGCAGUUAGCUUGUCUUCUGCAUGGCUCCACCCUACCCUAGAACCCAACUCCUCAACUUCCCAGUCAUUUCUGAGCUUUCUCCUUGUUCCAGCCAGGGUAAGGCCUUCUACCUGGGGUCAUCCAAUGUGCCAUGCUCAGUCAUGUGCUGUGCUUCUAAGGCUGUUCUCCUCCAGGAAGCCCCCCGACUUUUCUUUCUCUGGUGAAGCCUCUGGCCAGUCUUUAAAACCCAUCUAAAGUCUACUAUAACCUUUCCAAUGACUGCUGCUGAUUCUGAUCUUUUAUUUCUCAGCUCAGCUCUUGCAAUUAUUGUGAAGUCUACUACAUGACUCAAUAAGAAAUGAUAGAUUAUCUGUUUUCCAGUCAUUUCAUCUGUGUUGGAUGAACCGUUUCAUGAGAGCAGAGGCCACAUCUGGAAUGGUCCUUGCACUUCUGAACAGUGUCCAGCCCUGUGCUAUUUUUUCAAGAAUAUGCUAACUGAUUGAUCAGAAGAUUCAAUUAAAUUUAUUCAACAAAAUUCUAUUCAACUUUCCUAGCUAUGUGUUAAAUUGUAGGAGAUGGAAGGUUGUGACUCUUUUAUUUUUUUGAGAGAGAGUAUCAUCACUGUUGUCCAGGCUAGAGUGCAGUGGCACAAUCACAGCUCACUGCAGCCUCAACCUCCUGGGCUCAAGUGAUCCUCACUCCCAGCAUUCUGAGUAGCUGGGACUAUAGGCGUGUGCCACCAUGCCCAGCUAAUUUUUUUUGUAGAGAGAGGGUUUCACCAUAUUGCAGGCUGGUCUUAAACUCCUGAACUGAAGAGAUCCUACCAUCUCGGCCUCCCAAAGUGCUGGGAUGACAGGUGUGAGCCACUGCGCCUGGCCAAGACUGUGUGUAUUUUAAAGAUAGAAAAGGUAAUAUCGACCCAGGUAGACUUUAUGAUCUAGCUGACUAAUUGAUUGAAGCUAUAGUUUAAAAACUUUCUAUUAGGAAAGAGAGAACUACAAUACCAGACCUUUUAUAGUUACUCUUUCUAGUGGAUAAUCUGGUUAGCUAAACUUAUGAAAGGACCUAGGACCGAAUACAAGAACCAAUGACUCCCACUUGGAAACCCAUUUUCUGUUGUGUUAAAGCAGAGCUCAGAUUUCGUAUGAACGUUUUCAGUGGAAACACUCACCGUUUAAUUCCACAGCAGCAUCGAUCUGGCCGUUGACUCCUGAAAAUUCUUCUUCAGUAUUCUUUGGAUAGUCUUUUUCCAUUUUUCUUUUCCAUUCAUCGUAGCUAGAAAAAGUAUUAUUUCAUAAAUCAUAUUAAUAAGAGGUUUUUACUGUUGCAGAUGACACUAUAUGGUCAGGCAUAUGCACACUUGCAACUUAUUUAGGUGUUUCUCUCUCUCAUGCACACAUACACUUGCAUUUAUGCUAUUGUUUAUUUUUUCUUUAUUGUGUUUUUGUUUCUGUUUGAGAUGAGGUCUCAUUCUGUUGUUCAGGCUGGAGUGCAGUGGUGCCAUCACGGCUCAUCACUGCCUUGACCUCCUAGGCUCACACUGUCCUCCUGCCUCAGCUUACUGAGUACCUGGGACUACAGGCAUGUACCACCACACCUGGCUAAUUUUUAGUUUUUGUAGAGACAAGGUCUCUCCAAAAGGCCAUGUUGCCCAGGCUGAUCUCAAACUCCUGGUCUCAAGCAGUGUUUCCAUCUCAGCCUCCCAAAGUGCCGGGAUCACAAGAAUAAGCCACAGGGUUUGGCCGUUUUUAUUGUUUAAAUCGGACUCUUAAAAUACCUAAAAGAGAUUAUCGACCUUUAUCACUAUGCUCCCAUGUUCCUGAGAUUCUGGUACCACAGACUUGGAGGUCACUUGUUGUAAGCAGUCUCCAAAACAUUUCUACAUAUAUUGUUUAGAAUUAUUCAUUCUACAUAUUAUAGCAAAACAUUCUGUUAACUUAAAAAAAAAUUGCCUUUUGAAAGCCACUCUGUAUAUUUUUAUUGCCUUGUUUAUUCUUGUAAUUAUUUCUGUCUCUGUGUAUCCAUUCUUUGGUUCAUCAAACAAGGAAAGCCUUUCAUAGGGGCUUUUAUUCAGGAACUUAGUGCUAUGUAACCAUGAAGAAAGGGUUGAACAAAUAAUGCACAUUGAAUGAAUAAAUGUGUGAACAAUAAGUAAAUCAGAACCAAGGAAAUAUGUAGCAAUUGAACUUCUGCCUUUUAAGCCAAUUUACUUGAAUUCCAUUGUUUUUGUUUCUUGGAAAGCUUGUAUGGCUGACUGUAUAGUAGACCUGCCUUAUUUUUCUGGAUCAGCAGCCAGCAUUCAAAGGUAACUCUGAAGAUUGAUUAAUACAUCUCUUUAUGAUCUAAAUUACCCAUUGUAAAAAAAAGACUGUGACUGUGUGAAUCAGAGUGAUAUGUAUGAGACUAAGACUUCAUUUAAAGUGUGAGAAAGUCCCUUCUUCAUUAGCACAGAGCUCCAAAUGGGGACAUUCCCAGGUGGAUAUCCCACUCCUUUCUCACCAAAAGCUCAGAUAAUUUCUCCCAGUACCUGGGCCACUGAGAAGUUUCCCAUGGCAGCAGGUCACACCCCCCGUCUCCUGAAAUGUGCCUCUUGUGUGGCUAUGACUACAUAGGCCAGGAACAACUCUCUAGUUAUGCUGAGCCAGAGGCAAACAUUGAAAAAGACUAUUCAGGCUAAAACUAAGUGCAGGACUGAGCUGCUUUACAGAAUGUUUGGGCUGGGGUGGAAGCUAACUCUCCCAGCAUUUUAUCCAUAGUAACUGUAACCAUUAAUACAUCAUGCAUAGACAUGCAGACAGGGGCCUGCAUAACUAACACAGGGUUACCUACUUUUCAUUUUACUAAGAACAUUGCCAUUUAACCAUCAAAUGGUUAAAUACUACGACCUGUUUUCAUUAUCAUUUCACAAGGAAAAAGAAACGUUAACACCAAAAAGGCAGAAAGGACAUAAACUCAGAAUGGUUCUUGACAAUAAUCUGUGUUUAUGCUGACACAAAGUGCAGCUCCCUGGUUUAUAAUAUUGUGCUGUUUUUAUUUAGCCGUGAACCGGUGAGAACUUUGUGAUGAUCUAGCCCUUUGUGUGUGAACAGAUAUUUACGGAUUUCUGUUAUAGUGCAAAGAGCUCAACACAUACAGUCUGAUGGUACUGGGUUUGAAUUUCUAACUCUGUUACCUGCUAAUUCUGUGAUCAGGAGAACGUACUUUGAGCUCUGAGCUCUGGUUUUUCUUAUCUGGAAAACAGUGGUCAUGAGGAAAAGAGAAUUUACACACACACACACGCAGCACACACGUACCUGGCACAUGUAGCACCAAGAGCAGGCUCAAACCAGCAGACUUUGUUAUUUAUUUUGGCCCCAAAACUAUUAACUCUGACUUGUCAGUAUAAGGUUGAGUGAUCUUUGUGGUUUGAUCUGGGAUCCUAAGUCAUUAAGGAGUUUAAUCUUUAAUCUUUAAACUUACUUUACAAGAUAAUGUUUGCAGUAGUAGGCAAGGUUGAGAAGAGGUGAAAAGGAGGGGUAAAAAUGUUGGAGGUAGUUCAGAGAACCGAGUCAGCGAGGGAGUAAGAUGAAGAAGUCUGCUGGUGUGGUGAGGAUUUUACUGAGAGAAUAACAGAAAAAGAGAUUAUGUGAUAGGAUGAAGAUCACAGGCGUUCUAACUAACAAUAAAUAAAUGGUGAAGAGAAUUGAAGAAUAAACAUAAGUGGUGGAUGGGAAGGCCCAUUGGAUUUGGAUUCAGAGGACAUGAAAUACAGCUUCAGAUGGACCACGGUAGCCGUGUGAUCUUGAGUGAAUCAUGUAACCUCUCAGAGACACAAUGUUCAGUGAAAUACCUACUUCUCAAGAUUGUUGAAAAGGUAGAUGGGACAGUGAGAGAGUAUGAGAAAACACUGAGCAUGAUUCCUGGCACAUGAGCCAGCCAUCAAUAAAUAGAAGCUCAAUUUCAAUGUUAAGGAAAGAAAUACAAUUUUUAUUGAGAAUCAACUAUAUCUUGAGUAUCUGCUAAAAUCAUUGCAUAUAUCCCGUCAUCACUGAGGCCUUGUUUGUGAAACCUAAAUACCAAACUAGAAAUAAUGAUCUGUAAUUAUGUUUAUUUCCUUUAUGGGCCUUUGUUUCAUCAUUUAAUAUUGAUUCAAGGUAUCCACAUUUAAUAUAUAUUAAAUAAAUCAUUGCCUACAACAGAUAUCUGAUGUCAUUUUUCAGGUUUGUUAUCUUACUCUCCACAUCUCAUUUGUAUUCUAAGGACUCAGGGACUGUUUUGGUAAAGUGCCUGCAUUUUUGUUUAACCUAAUCUGUGUGCUUAGAACUUAGAUGGCAUUUUUGGUGUUUUGACUGUGCUAAUUUCAGUUGUAUGGCAAUGGCAUACCUGAGUCCAUUCUACCCUCUUGGAAGCACUAAAUGGGGAGCUGAGCCUGCUAAAAGAUGCUUAAAGAGAAUGCAAGAAAGGACGGCAAAAAGGGGAAUUUGCUGAUAAAGUCUUUCUAAGAUGGUAUCAGGAAGUUUCCUCAAAGUGACCUUUCCAGUGUGGGUCAGGAGGGACAAUGAAAUAGAAAUCUGAAAUUCCAUUUUGAAGUUAAUGAUCAACUUUCAGCCAGAAAUCACAUGACUUUCAUGAAGGAAGCGGCCUUUGUGAUCUACACUAGAGAAGGGCAGUUGGGAGAGUGAUCAGGAAGGAAGAGAAGGCAGGAGAGGCGGAAGCUGCCAUGGGCAAUCCCAGAAGAGGAAUAGGAUAUUGCAAUAAUUUUUCAAAAUUUGCGUUUGUAUGGUCUCCUGUCUUCUGGAGCCCUAUCUUCAACGGCUGCCAAAGUUGAAGAACAAAGAGAGUCCUUGAAGCUUCCCUUCAAUUGAUCAUCUUCUUCCCUUUCUUUCUCCUUCAAACACUGUUCCAAGUCAUUAUGAUGGCCCCAAUGCAAAGACAGCCAUGGAAGUGAACAUUGGAGUGGAAGGAAUGAUGGUAAGAAAUUCUGGGGCCAGUAGAGAGAAAAUAUUCUCAUCUCCAGGACUCUAAAGAGUAUUUAAGUUCCAUUUUCAGAAGCACAUGGAAGUAACUAACUGCGUGUAGGGUGUAAUCUAGAUACUUCUAGAAGGUUCCAGUAUCUGCUUUUCUAACACAUAAAUGCAGUCAAUCCCAGUGUUCCUAAGUGCAACAUUUCAAUUAUCAAGUGCAAACAUUUCGAAGAGGCAUAGCAAUUUAUGUUCUCAUAAGUCAUUUACCUAUUAGUGUGACUAAGCUUCACCUCAGAGUCAGUACCAGGUAACAUCUUUGACCUUUCCAGGUAGAGAAUUAGUCAAUGUCUGGCAGUUUCUUACUAUGAUUUCCUAUCUCUGAUUUUUCUUUCUUCAAGGGGAGCAAAGGUCUGCUUUCUUUCUAUCAUUCUUGUAUCAACUCUAAAUUCAAAUCGUUGAAAUCUAAAAAUAUCGCAUCAAAGCAAGUGAGUGACCAAGCAAAUAAAAUGAGAGACCCUAUCAGAGAAAUACACAAGGCAAAGCAUCCUCGAUUCAAUAAGUUAUGGGGAAAAUAAGCCAUUUCACCAUAACAUGUCCAUGUGACAUACUACAUGUCUGUUAUGUGCUCACUGUCUUUUACCAGUGGAAUGUAAGUCCCAUACUGGUAAGAACUCUAAUUCUGUUUGCAUAAAACAGUGCCUAGCACAAAAUAAACAGUCGUUGAAUAAAUGAAUGUAUGAAUGAGUGAUUAACUGAAUGAUUAAAGACAGAAAGAAGAAAAACAAGAUUGUCCUCAGAGAGAGAAAUUUUAAAUCAACCCAUAUAAUGGAUAAAAUGAAGGUGCACAGCAUCACCCUAAGAAACUGAAACCUUUAUUAAACCCACAUUAUAUGCCAGGCAUGUAGCCAACUACCGUAUGUACACUUUUCACACAACUUUAUGACAUGCAGUUUUUCACGUGAAGAAAUGUGCUCAUGAAAGAUAAAUGAUUGUUAAUUUCACAUAGAUAUUAAGGUGGAGACUCCCAGAUUUUCACCCAGCUCUGUUAGACGUUGAAGUCUGUGUUCUUAAUAGUUACAGGAAGCGUAUGUUGCUGCCUUUGUGGAGCAGUGCCUUGGAAACAUGGUAUCUUGAGUUGGCUGGCAGGGAGAUCCCUAGGCUGAUUCCAGUUGCCCAGCUGCUCCCUGGCAUGCCCAUGUGUCUGGCCUGAGCAGAAGUUGGGCCAGCCAGACUGCACAAGCUCCCUGGCUGGUGAUGACGUUUCUCACUACAAAUGAUUCCUUUGUUCCUCUGGUUUCUGUAUUUCAAUCUUCAGAGGAUUUAACUUUCAUAAAUGUUUAACUUUCUGGAUUUCUAAAGAGUUCGGUUACAACCUGGUAGAUUUUUCAGAGUAAGGGAUGCUUCCCAGUGAGGCAGGAUUCUGAGUGAUCAGUUACCAGCUAAGUUUUAUUCUAUAUCUAGCCUUCCCAUGGCCCUUCUUUCAAAUGACAUAUGUAUAUAUAUAUGCCACUUUAAAUGGCUGACUCUAAAAAAAGUUUAUUUAUAUAACUCAUAAAUCAUAUCAUAUUCUAUUUUAUAAUGGUAUUUGUUAAGUUUAGAAAUUUAUGACUAGAAUGCAUAAUAACAUGAACCAUAUUCUGAAUUUCUAGAGCACAGAUAUCCUGGAAUCAGAUGGAAUAGAAAUAGAGGAAAGAAAAAAGUGUAUUUAAAACCAAAGACUACCCGCAGAAUCUCAUAUGGAAAAUAAGUGAAUGAUCUUACCUCAUUUGUGAGAAUGAGAAGCUCAGAGAGGACCUGGCAAGCUUAUAUCCAGAAGCUAACUGGUUUAUUUUCACCAAGAACAAAAAAAGAAAGAAAAAAGGAAGGGAAGGGAAGAAAAGAAAAAAGAAAAAAUAUAUACUUAUACUAUAGGUAAUUUUGGUUAGAGUGGAGGAAGCAAACAGCCUUCUGAUUCAGCAAUUAUUAGCAUUAAAAUGGGCUAUUAAAGAAGGUUGUGAAAUUGUCUUCAGCAGUCUUUGAGUAUAGGACAGAGCAUCAUGCUUUUAGAAAAGAUUGGGUUAAGUGAGGUUUUGCCUGUCUGGUCAGGCUUGGGGUAUGUGCAAAGAACUUAGAUUAGAUUACUGUCCCAAAUUUUAUUCAUAUAUAUAUGAAUAUACAUAUAUAUAAUUUAUAAAUAAUUAUCGAUAAAAUUUAUAUAUAGAAUAAGCAAAAUACUUUCAUAUUUUUAAUAAAUAUUUAUUAGGUAUCAAUUAUUUGUUAGGCACCAGGAAUACAGAGAUAUGAGACACAGUUUUAACACCCUGGGAGCCCAAAAUUUACUGCUGCAAUGAAAUUGAACUUGCAGUAAAAUCUUAGAUCAAGAUCGAUGGAAUCUUAGUGACAAAAAAUGUGGUUUUACAUUGCAAGUUGGUAGAAUCCUUCUUAAAAAAAUUAUAAAUGAUUUAGCAAUGUGUAAAAUAUUAAAAGGGCAAUUUUAGCCAAAAAAGCAAAUGAAAAUUAUACAACAUUGGAUUCAAUAUCUGCUAAAGGGAAGUAUAUAUGUAAAAAAAAAAAAAAAAGGAAAAGGAAACCUGGGACAAGGAAAACAGUAGUAUGAGGGUGGUAGGGCCUUACGCCUAACAGUUCUUACAAAAUUUCCUUUAACACUGCCAUGCAUUUUUUAAAAACAGUAAGUGAAAGUGUGAAAGAAAGACUAUAUCAAUGUACCUUUAUAUUUGUGUUUGAGAAAACAGAAGACAUAUAUGAUGAACUCAGUGGCCUAUUUAACUCAUUCAUUUGUUUGGCUGUGAUUCUUCUAUUUACUCAGUCUAGAACUCUUGUAUUUAUUCUGUGCUUAGUGCUGGAGGUAUAAAAGGCAAAUAAAAACCCGUCCUUGCCCAUCACAGUCUUAGACUCUCCAGAGAGAGGCUCAGAUAUAAACUCAAAAUAUCUUAUAGUGUAAUUAUUGAAAUAAGAAAGGUAUUUAAAGGUCCAAAUGAGAGCAGAAGAGGGAAAGCUCAUCUCUGCCUGGGCAGCUGAGAAUGAGAGUAAAAUGGAGGAAAGGAGGGGCCGUGGUGGGCUUUCCAUGGGGAUGGGGCUUUAGUUGAGGGCUGAUUGCCAAUGGAGUUAGAGCUCACCUGCAAGAAGGGUGAAGUGAGAAGGAAGGAGAGUGACAGGUAGUGGGGAGGGGGAAAUUCCUAGCAGAGGAAGUGAUUAGAUGAGGAGCUGUUAAGAGCAUUUGUUCUUAGAAAACUGAAGAGAUUUCUAUGUACAAGGCAGGGUGGGGGCAGCCAACAGGAGGUGGGCAGAAAAGAAAAGCAGAGACGGGUCUGUUGGAGAAGGCUCUCACCCAUAAUUUCAGGUAUUGACACAGAAAAGCAGAGGCCAGGAGUUGUUUGCUGGGUAAACCUUGGUCAAAGGGGAAAGCCAGAGAGCAAUUUCCAGCCCAAGCUGCUGAUCCAAAGGGCAGGACUGAAAUGAGGCUCCUGGUGCAGAGCUGGAAUACGGCUGGCAAAACAGAGAAGGCAGAAGAUGGGCAGAAUGGCAUGGAACAAGUCCGGAGCAGCCACAGUGCAGCAGAGGCUUUGAGGGCUGCUGGGGUUUUAUUUAAAGGGCCUGGAGAGGAGUGUGCUGGGCAACGUCACAGGCACCUUAUGUGCCAGGCUAAGGCAUCUAGACAUUAAUGGCCUGUGAUGGGAAACCACUGGAGAGUUUCUUCCCCAGCAAUGACAUGAUGAGGUUUGCAGUUACACAAAGAUUGCUCUGAAGGGAGCAUUCGGCAUGAAUUGGAGAGGAGUGAGGAUGGAGGCUGCCGGGGGCGCCGAGGGGAGGGUUGUAGGAGGUCCAGUCAGAGGGCUUACCACUAUGUUUAUCUUAGGUCAUGAACUGUGAGAGACAAGCUGUCAGGAUAAAUAGCAUUUUGUUUAUUCUUAUUAAAUCUCUGGCCUGUAUUGCAAUGAUCACCAAUGUGAGCUUUCGAGAUUGGGUAGUAAAUGUGUUUAUAGCUGCCUCUGUGGAGGGAGGGAGGUCAAAAGUCUCAUUAGAGCACAUUCCACUUGCCCAAUCAUUUUAGUGAGUCAAUUUGCUAAAUUAUAGACUUAUUUCAGUAUACAAAUCAGCAAUUCUGGAAGCUGGUAGUUUGCCUGGCAGCUUCUUUUGAACAUGUCCAUUUUUUCCUUUAGAAUUUGUCUACAGGUAGGCUGGGCGUGAUGGCUCACACCUGAAAUCCCAGCAUUUUGGAGGCCAAGGCGGGUAGAUCACCUGAGUUAAGGAGUUCAAAACCAGCCUUACCAACAUGGUGAAACCCCAUCUCUUCUAAAAAAUAUAAAAAUUAGCUGGGCAUGGUGGUGGGCAUGUGAAAUCCCAGCUACUACUUGGGAAGCCAAAGCAGGAGAAUCCCUUGAACCCAGGAGGCAGAAGUUGCAGUGAGCUGAGAUUGCACUCCACUGAGAUUGCUCUCCACUGAGAUCGCUCUCCACUGAGAUCGCACUCCACUGAGAUCGCUCUCCACUGAGAUCGCUCUCCACUGAGAUCGCUCUCCACUGAGAUCGCACUCCACUGAGAUCGCACUCCACUGAGAUCGCUCUCCACUGAGAUCGCACUCCACUGAGAUCGCUCUCCACUGAGAUGGCACUCCACUGAGAUUGCACUCCACUGAGAUUGCUCUCCACUGAGAUCGCACUCCACUGAGAUCGCUCUCCACUGAGAUUGCUCUCCACUGAGAUUGCUCUCCACUGACAUUGCACUCCACUGAGAUCGCACUCCACUGAGAUCGCACUCCACUGAGAUUGCACUCCACUGACAUUGCACUCCACUGAGAUUGCUCUCCACUGAGAUUGCUCUCCACUGAGAUUGCACUCCACUGAGAUCGCUCUCCACUGAGAUCGCACUCCACUGAGAUCGCUCUCCACUGAGAUCGCACUCCACUGAGAUCGCUCUCCACUGAGAUGGCACUCCACUGAGAUCGCUCUCCACUGAGAUUGCUCUCCACUGAGAUUGCUCUCCACUGAGAUUGCUCUCCACUGAGAUGGCACUCCACUGAGAUUGCUCUCCACUGAGAUUGCACUCCACUGAGAUUGCUCUCCAUUGAGAUGGCACUCCAGAGAUUGCACUCCACUGAGAUUGCUCUCCACUGAGAUGGCACUCCACUGAGAUUGCUCUCCACUGAGAUUGCACUCCACUGAGAUUGCUCUCCACUGAGAUGGCACUCCACUGAGAUUGCACUCCACUGAGAUUGCUCUCCACUGAGAUUGCACUCCACUGAGAUUGCUCUCCACUGAGAUUGCUCUCCACUGAGAUGUCACUCCACUGAGAUGGCACUCCGCUGAGAUUGCUCUCCAUUGAGAUGGCACUCCAGAGAUUGCACUCCACUGAGAUUGCUCUCCACUGAGAUUGCGCUCCACUGAGAUUGCUCUCCACUGAGAUUGCAUUCCACUGAGAUUGCUCUCCACUGAGAUUGCUCUCCACUGAGAUUGCACUCCACUGAGAUGGCACCCCAGAGAUUGCACUCCACUGAGAUUGCUCUCCACUGAGAUUGCACUCCACUGAGAUUGCACUCCACUGAGAUUGCACUCCACUGAGAUUGCUCUCCACUGAGAUGGCACUCCAGAGAUUGCACUCCACUGAGAUCGCUCUCCACUGAGAUCGCAGUCCACUGAGAUCGCACUCCACUGAGAUCGCUCUCCACUGAGAUUGCUCUCCACUGAGAUUGCACUCCACUGAGAUUGCUCUCCACUGAGAUUGCUCUCCACUGAGAUUGCACUCCACUGAGAUUGCUCUCCACUGAGAUUGCUCUCCACUGAGAUUGCACUCCACUGAGAUUGCUCUCCACUGAGAUUGCACUCCAGCUUAGGCCAUAGACUGAGACUCCAUUGCAAAAAAAAAAAAAAAAAAAAAGAAAAAAGAAUUUGUCUAUAGGUAAAAUCAGUUUAACUAUUGUGAAAGAUCUACCAUAUGCCCAGUGCUAUGGUCUGAAUGUUUGUGUCCCCCAUAAAUUCAUAUGUUGAAAUUCUCACCCCCAAGGUGCUAGCACUAGUAGGAGGGGCCUUUGGGAAGUGAUUAGAUUUUGAGGGUGCAGCCCUCACGAUUGUAGUAAGUGUCCUUGUUAAAGAGGCUCCAGAGAGAUGCCUUGCCCCUUCCAGCAAGCAAGGACAAAGCAGACAGGCACCAUCUAUGUAUCAGGAAAAGCUCCCUUAAUCUUGGGGGUCCCAGGCUCCAGAACUGUGAGAAAUAAAUCUUUGUUGUUUAUGGGCCACCUGGUUUAAGGUAUUUUGUUAUAGCGGCCCAAAUAAACCUGGAGCAUAUUGUGGGGCCAGGUAGUAAAAUGAUGAAGGAAUGUUUAAAGGACACUAGCCAGCUUGUUGGAGCCUUCUCUGGCCUAAUCUAAGACACUCUGAGCAUCAAAAUCCAUAAUGACAGUAAUGGGUUGUGUGUGGUCCAUUGAAUGAAAUAAAAACUCAUGAAUCUAUACUGAUAUAAACAAGCGAUAAUGGGGAGAAGAGAAAGCUCUUCCUUAUGGUAAAAAGCUAACUGAUAAAUAAAUGUAGAAAGGAUAUGGCUUUAGAAAACAUGCAUUUGGUCAGUAGGGAAAUGCAAAUCAAAACCACAGUGAGAUAUCGUCUCACCCCAGUAAAAAUGGCCGUUUUCAGAAAGACAAAAGUAACGGAUACUUGUGAGGAUGCAGAGAAAGGGAUAUGCUAAUACACUGUUGGUGGGAAUGUAAUUUGGUAUGGCCACUAUGGAAAAUAGUAUGACUGUUUCUCAAAAAACUAAAAAUAGAUCUGACAUGUGAUCCAGCAAUCCCACUGCUGGGUAAAUAUCCAAAAGAAAGAAAACUCAUAUGUUAAAGGGGUGUCUUCAUGUCUAUGUGUGUUGUGACUAUUCACAAUAGCCAACAUACGGAAUCAACCAAAGUGUCCAUCUUUUUUUUUAAAGAUGGGGUUUCACCAUGUUGGUCAGGCUGAUAUCUAACUCUUGACCUCAGGUGAUCCGCCCACCUCAGGCUCCCAAAGUGCUGGGAUUACAGGUGUGAGCCACCGCACCCAGCUUCAAAGUGUCCAUCAAUGGAUGAAUGGAUAAAGAAAUGUGGCAUGUAUACACAAUGGAAUACUAUUCGGGUGUAAAAAUGAAUGAAAUCUUGUUAUUUGUAGCAAUAUGGUUGGAACUGGACCAGGUCAUUAUGUUAAGUGAAAUGAACCAGGCACAGAAAGACAAAUAUUACCUGUUCUCACUCUAUAAGCAGGAACUAAAAAAACCCUGAUCUCACAGAGGCAGAGAGUAGAACGAUUAUUACCUGAGGUUAGGAAGUGUUGGGGCAGAGGCGAUGAAGAGAUGUUGAUUAAUGUACAAAAAUAGAGUUCGAUAGAAGGAAUAAAUUCUAGUGCUCAAUAACACAGUAUGAUGACUACAGUUAACAGUGAUUUAUUGUACAUUUCAAAAUAGUUAGAAUAGAAGAUUUCAAAUAUUCCCAGCACAAAGAAAUGAUGAAAUUUUGAGAGAUGGAUAUGUUAAUUACCCUGACGAUCAUUACCUAUUUUAUGCAUAUAUCAGCAUAUCACAUGUACCCCACAAAUAUGUACGAUCAUUAUGUAUCAAUAAAAUAAUACAUUUAGAAACCA
Callithrix jacchus (white-tufted-ear marmoset) is the source of this 12784-nucleotide non-coding RNA. NCBI's taxonomy places the organism in Eukaryota, Metazoa, Chordata, Mammalia, Primates, Cebidae. The record is from RefSeq and is a predicted model, not a curated record.